UACGUAGGGAGCAAGCGUUGUCCGGAAUCAUUGGGCGUAAAGCGCGCGUAGGCGGCCCCGUAAGUCCGCUGUGAAAGUCAAAGGCUCAACCUUUGAAAGCCGGUGGAUACUGUGGGGCUAGAGUCCGGAAGAGGCGAGUGGAAUUCCUGGUGUAGCGGUGAAAUGCGUAGAUAUCAGGAGGAACACCUGCGGUGUAGACGGCUUACUGGACCAUAACUGACGCUGAGGCACGAAAGCGUGGGUAGCAAACAGG
Molecule: ribosomal RNA, 253 nt
Filed under: uncultured bacterium
Lineage: Bacteria
Description: partial 16S ribosomal RNA
Rfam family: Bacterial small subunit ribosomal RNA
Source: RNAcentral